Molecule: ribosomal RNA, 465 nt
Filed under: uncultured bacterium
Lineage: Bacteria
Description: partial 16S ribosomal RNA
Rfam family: Bacterial small subunit ribosomal RNA
Source: RNAcentral
GACGAACGCUGGCGGCGUGCUUAACACAUGCAAGUCGAACGGAAAGGCCCCUUUGGGGGUCCUCGAGUGGCGCACGGGUGCGUAACACGUGAGUAACCUGCCCUUGACUUCGGGAUAACUUCAGGAAACUGGGGCUAAUACCGGAUAGGAAUCCUUGCUGCAUGGUGGGGGUUGGAAAGCUUCGGCGGUUUUGGAUGGACUCGCGGCUUAUCAGCUUGUUGGUGGGGUAGUGGCUUACCAAGGCUUUGACGGGUAGCCGGCCUGAGAGGGCGACCGGCCACAUUGGGACUGAGAUACGGCCCAGACUCCUACGGGAGGCAGCAGUGGGGAAUAUUGCACAAUGGGCGGAAGCCUGAUGCAGCAACGCCGCGUGCGGGAUGACGGCCUUCGGGUUGUAAACCGCUUUCAGCAGGGGCGAAGCUUGUGGUGACGGUACCUGCAGAAGAAGCACCGGCUAACUACGUG